CAGCAGUCCCACAGAGAGAGGGACGUCUCGACAGCCGCGGCCGGAUAGAAGCUACAGCGGGGCAGCUGAGUCCGUCUGCUGCUGCAGGACCUGGAGCUCACUGCCCGUUCCUGGGUACCAAAACCGACACCACGCAGCUAGAGGCCCAGGCCAUAUUGCUGGGCCCGCUGGAGGGAAGGGAAGCCCGGGAGAACCAGCACCAGAACUGAGCGGAGCGGACUGUCACAGCCUGCUGAAGUUUAAAUCACAGGUUUCCUAAAGGGAGUCUGGCGGGACUCGGACUGUGGAUGACGAAACAUGACUUUAAGUCUCGUUAAAUAAAUAAAUACACACAGAAA
Sander lucioperca (pikeperch) is the source of this 338-nucleotide long non-coding RNA. RefSeq lists it as uncharacterized. Lineage: Eukaryota; Metazoa; Chordata; Actinopteri; Perciformes; Percidae. The transcript has 3 exons. The record is from RefSeq and is a predicted model, not a curated record.